This is a small nuclear RNA of Juglans microcarpa x Juglans regia, 100 nucleotides long. The record is from RefSeq and is a predicted model, not a curated record. Lineage: Eukaryota; Viridiplantae; Streptophyta; Magnoliopsida; Fagales; Juglandaceae.
AUCCCUUCGAAGACAACUGAAAAAAUUAGAACCAUACAAGAAGAUUAGCAUGGUCCCUUUGCAAGAUGACACACAAAUGAAAGAAAUUCAUAACGCGAAA